RNAcentral lists this unclassified non-coding RNA (864 nucleotides) under Hevea brasiliensis (rubber tree). The record is from RNAcentral. Lineage: Eukaryota; Viridiplantae; Streptophyta; Magnoliopsida; Malpighiales; Euphorbiaceae.
CACCAAGGAGCGGAUGGCCGGAGUAGAGAGGUUGCACCAGCUUCUAGAAGCUUCCAGGAAGAGUUUGAGUUCCGCGGAAACCACUUCUUUAGUCGAUUGCUGCUUGGAUCUUUUGAAAGAUAACAAUUUCAAGGUCUCUCAAGGUGCUUUACUUUGGCUUCGGCUGCUGUGUUGUCCGGUGAGCAUUUGAAGUUGCAUUUCAAUGCGCUUGUCCCCGCCGUCGUCGAGCGGUUAGGUGAUGGUAAACAACCCGUUAGAGACGCUGCCAGACGUCUAUUGCUCACCCUCAUGGAGGUUUCUUCACCAACUAUCAUCGUCGAGAGAGNNNCUUUGCCUGGACACAUAAAAGCUGGAGAGUUCGUGAAGAAUUUUCUAGGACUGUCACAUCAGCAAUCGGUCUUUUUGCAGCUACUGAGCUUCCUCUUCAACGGGCUAUUCUUCCGCCUAUUUUGCAGAUUUUGAAUGACCCAAAUCCUGGUGUGAGGGAAGCUGCUAUAUUGUGCAUUGAGGAUAUGUAUACACAGGCAGGGCCUCAAUUCCGUGAUGAGCUUCACCGUCAUCAUCUUCCUAUGUCUAUGAUGAAAGAUAUUAAUGCUAGACUAGAGAAGAUUGAACCACAAAUACGCCCUUCAGAUGGACCAACGGGUAAUUUUGCUAUUGGAGAGAUGAAGCCUAUUACCCUUAACCCCAAGAAAAGUAGUCCAAAGGCCAAGAGUUCUGCAAGGGAGAUGUCUCUUUUUGGAGGAGAAAGUGAUGUUACAGAGAAACCCAUUGAGCCAAUUAAGGUUUACUCAGAAAAGGAGCUAAUCAGGGAAAUUGAGAAGAUUGCUUCUACCCUUAUUCCAGAAAAGGAUUGGUCCAUAC